UUUGAAAUUACUCACGUGUACGAACGACCAUAUGUUUGGUUAAUCAUCACGUUCGACGUUUGUAGUCGCUUAAACUCGAAAUAAUCUCAUCUUCGUACAUAGCUCUUUUUACCGUCGGAUACAGAUUGGUCACGUGACAUGGCUGGUAGUAUCUUCUAUCCUCAUCUCUCUCAGUCUUUCUCUUGGUGGUUCCUCCCACGUCAUUGGAAGUCGACCUGGCAGGGUAUUCAGACGUCGCUAGUGACAAUACUGAAGUCUCGUUGUGGGACGAGGCAAUGUACAAUGCGACAGCAAUCAGCAGCCGCGCCCUUGUCAGCAGGGAUCUCUGUCUUUCUCUUUUCAGAAAAUUCACCAGGAUAAGAACGAAGUUCGAGAGCCUCGUUGGCGACAUUGCGAAUCGAUGUCAGGAUAUAUCUACUACAUAAGUGAUUGCUGGAGGGCUGAACUGUUGGCCGACUCAUUUCUCCUUUUUUCUUCUUUUCUUUUUUUUACUUUUUUUUUCUCUCCUUUUUUUGUGGGAAAUAG
This is a long non-coding RNA of Vespa velutina, 525 nucleotides long. RefSeq lists it as uncharacterized. The transcript has 3 exons. The record is from RefSeq and is a predicted model, not a curated record. Lineage: Eukaryota; Metazoa; Arthropoda; Insecta; Hymenoptera; Vespidae.